UACAGGGGGGGCAAGCGUUGUUCGGAAUUACUGGGCGUAAAGGGCCCGUAGGCGGCUAACUAAGUCCGACGUGAAAUCCCCAGGCUUAACUUGGGAACUGCGUCGGAUACUGGUUGGCUUGAAUUCGGGAGAGGGAUGCAGAAUUCCAGGUGUAGCGGUGAAAUGCGUAGAUAUUGGGAAGAACACCGGUGGCGAAGGCGGCGACCUGGUCCGAUACUGACGCUGAGGCGCGAAAGCGUGGGGAGCAAACAGG
This 253-nucleotide ribosomal RNA is filed under the name uncultured bacterium. RNAcentral's name for it is "partial 16S ribosomal RNA". It matches the Rfam family "Bacterial small subunit ribosomal RNA", at positions 524 to 776 of the family's 1533-position model. The record is from RNAcentral.